GUAUAUUUACAAGUCUUGGACUUUAUAGAGGCAAACACUGUCUACUAUUUGCAAGGACAGGACUUUUGGAGAGAUUAAGGAAUUAUUACCUAAUGUGUCAGCCUGGAAGUUCAGGAAGGCCAAGCACCAUACAAAUGAUGUUGGAUGGUGGUGUCAGCCUGAAAGUUCAAUAAGGCCAAGCACCAUACAAAUGAUGUUGAAUAAGAUAAGAUAAGAUAAUUUCACAUAAUUUACAUAAUCUUUAUAGUUCUAGGUCUAUGGGAGACAACUCCUGAUAGAUUUUAUUACCUAUAUAUCUAUAUAUAUUUUUCUUUUUCUAUUUUUUUCAUACAACAAUGAUAUAUUCUAUGAAUUUCUUUUGUUCUUCAAAAAGGGAAUGCAAUAAAUUAGAUAAGUUUGAAGUAACAAACAAAUCUUCAGAUGAAAGAAUCCAAAUGAAUUUCAUCAGAUAAUCUUGAAAAUUUUAAAAUUUAGAAUUUAAAUUAGACAGAUGUUAAUAUCUAGUGUUGGAUGUGGUAAGGCAGUUGUACAGGAGAAAAAAUCUAGGAACAAGGUAGAAAAUCAAAAACUGAAACAUUUAUUGAUUACAUACUGUCAUCUAACAGUAUAAAGGAUUUGCCUUACGGUACAAAGACCAUAAAACUUUCUCUAGGAGAGAUUGUUGAAGUCCCAAACCUCAUAAGAAGCUUAACACCAUCUUCGCUGAUAUGGCCAACUAAAAUUAAUUAGUAGAUUUUCAUCCAGAUUGAAAAAAAUAAUGGGGUGGGCAGAAAUAUUUCAUUUGUAAAAUUUUAUUUUAUAUGUAACAAGUGUGGACACAGAUCAGUGUGGAUAGUAAAUUUAUGUCUGAAUGUUUGAAAGUUUUUUUCUGACAAAGAUAGGUAUUUUCCACAGGUUUCUACAUUAAAUGUGUUGCACAAUGACAGACAUCCUGAACCAAACAGUAAACAUUAGAAGUGUUAUUUAAUUUAAUAUUCAGUUUUAAUGUUCAAGACUGUCAUUGAGGAGAACCUAAUUAUAUUGAUAUCCAUAAUAUCAUGAUAAAAUAAGUUCCACAUCUUUUCUUUUGGAUACAUUUGUAGCUGGAAGAGGAACCCAAUAUGUGUCAUUCUGCAUUUUUUAUAUGGAAUAUGGUAUCUGAGAACAUGCAUGCAUGGACUACUUAAUUAUGUGUCUUUGUGGUUGAUCUUGGAAUUUAAAGUACCAUUAGUAAAAUGUUUCAUUUAAAUGUCGAAACUGUUUCUCAAAUUAUAAAAUAUUAAAUGGUUUUAAGUAAUGACAAUUCCUUACAUCAUGCUUGGAUGUAGAUGAGCUAGAAAGUAAACUUCUGUCUAAGUUCUUAAAACAUGUCUAAUCUCUAAAGCCAUGGUCAAUUUUUUUUUUUUACCAAUAUGCAAAUGAUAUGAACAAAAGACCCUAUGUGAGCAUGCUUCAAAUACUUGUAAUUGCUGCAAAUUCAACUGAUGAGAUUUCUUGUGGAUAUGAACAUAUUCUUUAAAUGUUGUAAUUAUCUUAACAGAUCUAGUAUUCAAAAUGAAAAGGUGAGGAAGGUACUGCAAAAAUAUUCUUGUUUCAAGAUAAUUUUGUUAUACAGAUACAAAUGCAUGUGAUACCUGUACAGUGAGCUACUUUUGUUGUGAUAUGAUAGUGUUUCCUGCAGCUUAUGAAAAGGGCACAGUAUUUUUUUUCUCAGGGGGCACACGUUGAAAAUAUGCCGCACAGCCCUAUAUUUUGACCUUUGAAAAAAAUUGUGGUGCAUAUUAACUUUCAAUUCUAGGAUAAGAUUUUUUUCAAAACUUCAUAGUAAAAGUGGUACAAUUUUAGCCGUAAAAGGAGUUAUAUGGGAAAUUGCAUUGUCAAUAUUUACAGAAAUGCAACCUGUAAGGGCACCCUAGCUUUGCUGAGGACUACAAUUCACUUUUAGGACACUUUUACAUUGAUAUUAAAGGUACUGUAAUGGAAAGGAAUUUAAUUGAAUAUACCAUUGUUUGAAUUUAUCUGUAAGAAACUGUCCCAAGUCAGGAGUCUUUAAUUCAGUGGUUGUCGUUAGUUGAUGUAUUACAAUUUUUUUUAGUUCAUUUUUUUUAUAUAAAUAAGGCCGUUAGUUUUCUUGUUUGAAUUAUUUUACAUUGUCAUAUCGGGGUCUUUUAUAGCUGACUAUGUGGCAUGGGCUUUGCUCAUUGUUGAAGGGCGUACGGUGACCUUUAGUUGUUUUAAUGUGUGUCAUUUUAAUUUGGUCUCUUGUGGACAUUUGUCUCAUUGGCAAUCAUACCACAUCUUUUUUUUAUGUGUAUUAGGUUGUAUAUUUAAUUCCUUUUUUGUCAUCAAAUAAUCACUUCAAGACUCAAAGUCAUCUGAUAAAAUCUUGAUCAGGUUCAUUGUGCAACGACCUCAAUUAAUAACUCUAGUUAUAAACUUUAUCCUUGAUCACUGAAACUGAUUGUUGAAGGAUGUUCGUAUUGUGUAUAUAAAUAUUUUAACAAAAUGCAUUUGACUAACAGGUUGAAUAACUGAUGUUCUUUAACCCUGCUGACUGCCAUUGGCAAUUGCAAAAUAAAAUUGAUAACGAGAUGUAAAAAAAUGGAAAUUUUAUAAAUAUACAUAUAUAUAUAUAUAUAAGACUAUUUAAGACUCAUAUUGACAUCCAAGAUCCGGUCUUUACUAAUAAUUAUUUUUUGAAUAACUUACUCUAUAUAGAUUUCAUAUUUUUUCUUUUAUUCGAGACUUAUACUGACCUCCAGAUGUCUUUUAAUUACAUUCAGUUUUGCAUUGGACUGAUUGCUGUACAUGUAAUAUCUGACAAUGUGGAAUGUAAGUAACAGCUAUUCGCCAAAGUUCAAAUAAAGUAGAUGUAAGCAAUUAUAGACAACCAUACAACCUCCUACAAUGAGAAAACCCCAGAGAGGCAUACUGCAUAAUCGACUGUAAACGAACAUUUAUAGCUUACUAUGUGUGAGAUAUUGGCUUUGCUCAUAGUUGAAGACUGUACAGUGACCUUUGGUUGUACUGUUACUUGUAAAUUCAGUUUUGCAUUGGACUGUUUGCUGUACAUGUAAUAUCUGACAAUGUGGAAUGUAAGUAACAGCUAUUCGCCAAAUUUCAAAUAUAGUGGAUGUAAGCAAUUAUAGACAACCAUACAACCUCCUACAAUGAGAAAACCCCAGAGAGGCAUACUGCAUAAUCGACUGUAAACGAAAAUUUAUAGCUUACUAUGUGUGAGAUAUUGGCUUUGCUCAUAGUUCAAGGCUGUACAGUGACCUUUGGUUGUUAGUUUCUCUGUCAUUUGGUCUCUUGUGGAGAGUUGUCUCAUUGGUAAUCAUAUCGUGUCUCCUUUUUUAAAUGUACAUUUAUGUAACCUGUUCACAAUAUGAUAUAAUUUAUAUUGAUAAGAUCUAUUUAAAAAAAGACAUUGUGAUUAUUUUCACAAGAUUGAUAGUCAUGAUAGUGGUACAAAUGUAUAAGGACUGAAAUAAGAUCAAAUAUAUAUAUAUUUCUGCUCAACAGUUCUAUGAUAAAUCAGUUGCAGUAGGUUGUUUAAGUUAGCAGCAUAAUAAACAUUGCACAUCUUUAUGGGGUCUACAAUCAAUAUAUUGCUGUAAUUUGAAUUUGAUUCACAAUAACCAAUUUGAAUCUGAUAAAUUUCCAAAUAUUUGACGUCCAAAUGUAAAGUUUCACAUAAAUUGCAUUGCACAUCAUAUAUGAUUAUGCUUCACUCUUGGAUCGAUGUGACCUUUCUAAUUGUGUUAUCAAUUUCUACAAUAACCCAAAUUUCCUUAUUGGUUUUCCUGCGGAAAUGUCAUGUGUUUAACAGGAUAGACCAAAUAUAAUUUAGGCUGAUGUUGUGACGUUAAACAGUUAAAUAAAUUAUUUAUGUUAACUAUAUUAAGAUUGGUUUUGAAUUUGUUCCUUUUACAGACCACUCUAAGUGAUAUUCAUUAACUCGACACUGAAUCCAAAACAAACCUAUGGCAUCAGAUAAUUUGUAUUGUUAUGUCAAAAUCUUAUUGGAACCUUUGUGAUGUCCAGUAUUGCAGUAAUUAUGGCAGACAAAUAUCAAUAUGGCACACAGGAAAACAUAUUAUUGUAUAGCAAUAUAAUUUUCCCCACAGAAAGUAACCAAAAUUUGUAUAGAAUUAGAUUUAACCAAUGUUCAGCAUAAAUAAAAGUAAAUAUGCAGAAGCAUGACAAUACAUUAAUGAUAAAAAAUGUUUAUUUAUCUGUAAAAGACGUUGCCAGUAUCUUUCUCUAAGAAUUACAUUUGAGUGAAUCGGUUGAACCUCAGUUGAACACGGGGUCGGAGUUAACAGUUGAAUUGAUAUUCAGAAAAAUUACAAAAAUCAUAUCAUUAAUCAUAUGAUACAUACACUGAAGUGGAGGGUAACAGUAUUUGAUAAAAAUUCCCUGUUGGAGAUUUAAUGAUGGAGUAUAAAUAUUUCAUCGAGCUUAGUUGAUUCUUAACUUUAGGGGUGGUAACUGCAAUGGAAAAAUUUGAGUCGUCUGCAAUGUUAAAUGUUUUACCUGGAUGGAAAAGUUUGGAAUUCUGACCUAUUUGGUCAAAUGAAAAUAUCCUAUCAUCUCCUCGGAGACAAUAUUAAGAAUUGAACAAUGGACAGUCAGUGCAUGAAUGCUUCUUUCUACCUGAUUGGAAGAUAUUACAAGACGUGAAUAAUCAAAGUUUAUUGAUAGGUUAGGACAAUCCAAACCUAGUAAAUGUCCUUCAGUCCCAUAGAGUAUUGGAUUUGUCCUCUCUAUUUAAGCAAUUAGAUUUGCAUGGUCAUUAAUCAUGCAUAUUCAUGAUAUUGUUACACAGGUAACUUUUAUCUAUAAAUAGUCGAUAUUUCUGGAGUUCCGUAAACAACAACGUUAAACGAUAUAUACUACUUCAUAACAUGUGUGGUAAAAUGUGUUGAUUGAUGCACGUGGCUAUUCUAAAUGAACUAAUCUAUAAAGCCAGAAAACUAUCCAUUUUCAUCAGCUAAGAGACGGCUAGCUUUUUUUUGAAAGGCUAAUACUUGUGUAACUAUUGUACUUAACCAUAUAUACUUCAUACCACGGGGGCAUAAGCAAGUGUAAAAUAAGCUUAUGUCAUGCAUGUCAUGUUUUGCGCCUGUCCCAAGUCAGGAGCCUCUGGCCUUUGUUAGUCUUGUAUUAUUUUAACUUUUAGUAUCUUGUGUACAAUUUGGAGUUUAGUAUGAUCUAGUAUGGCGUUCAUUAUCACUGAACUAGUAUAUAUAUUUGUUUAGGGGCCAGCUGCAGGACGCCUCCGGAUGCAGGAAUUUCUCGCUGCAUGGAAGACCUUUUGGUGACCUUCUACUCUAUGGUCCGGUUGUUGUCUCUUUGACACAUUCCCCAUUUCCAUUCUCAAUUUUCUUUUACAUGUAUAAGGAAUCGUACAGGAUUUUCAAACUUUUGAAUAAAUAUCUCUGAUUUGCAACCACAGUUUACUGUUAUACACAUUAGAAAACUAUUAAAAGUCAUGUAAAAAAGUGGAGAAAUACUGUCUUCAGUUCUACAUCUACAUGGCCGGAUGGGUAAUCUGUAAAGAGUCAGUUGACUCAUAACAGGAAUGUGUUUAAAUUAAAGUUGUCAUCCAAAAUGUGCUCUUUUAAAAUCAUAUGUACAGGUGCCAGUGCAGAUAAAAACAGUUGGACUAUACCUACUUAUAAUUUAUUUUGCUUUCUAAGCGAUGGUUUGUAGUCACCAUAAACCUGUAUUAAUUGGUACAAAUGUAUGCAAAACAAGUGUUAUAUAGUACAGAAUAAAAUUGAAACACAAACCCUAUUACUUUCCACACUGUUUGUGUUUUAACUUAAAGCAAGAUGCAAAUAUGAUUAUGACGUUAAACAAAACUUAAUAAAAAGAAGUUAUAUUUAGAGUAUUGAGACAAAGGAUGAUUGCUGUCAACAAAAAACAACAGCCAUGUGUAAAUCUAAGGGCUUGCUAUGAUAACAAUGUUUGUCAACUUUUUUGUAGCUCAAUCUGAGGGGGAGCAUAGUAGUCUCAGGCUCAAUAUACAGUCAUAAAUCAAGUUCGUGCUUGGGUCAAUUUCUUUAAUCCAGUCAUGCUUUUUGUACCAAUAUGUUCCACGAAUUUGUGCUUUGGAUAUCAGACAUAGUCCAUUUUGAUGUUGUCAUCUUUAACCAGCAGAAUAUGUCAACUUAAUCAUUUUUGUAAGAUUACUCGAAGAAAUACAAAACUGAAAUUGACACAGGAAGGUUUGAAUGAAACGAAAGUAUCAAUGGUAAUACUGGUAAUGGACAUGGAAAAAAUCCAGAAAUCGUAAAUUUUUAAAAAUAAAAAAAUCGGAGUGGGCAGGGAUGAAAAUCUAUCAAUUAAUUUCAGUUCAUAAAAUAUUGUGAAACAGAAGAUAUUAAACCAUUAGGUAUAAUAGAAUAUUAGCUGUAACAAUUGGUCUUAACUCACAGGGUAAAAAAUAUUAUUUGAACUUCUACGUGUAAAAAAUAUAUUUUGUUACUAAAAUGGAAUACUAUAAUUCUUUAAUGAAUGCAAGACAAUAUGAAGAGUCAGAAUCAUGCAUGGUGAUUACCCCUGAAAAUUUGAUAAUUUAGACCAUAUUUUUGUUUGAAAUUUGCAAAUGUUUCAAUUUUACUAAUCAGAGAUAUAACAACACAAGAUGACCUAUAUUGUAACCACAUGAACACUAAUUUUAUCUUCCUCCAACUUAAAAUUGGAUCUAUAAGAUUCAUAAUUUACACUUCAUUUUACAGGUACCUCAACAGUAUACAAGAUUUU
This is a long non-coding RNA of Mytilus trossulus (common blue mussel), 6753 nucleotides long. RefSeq lists it as uncharacterized. The record is from RefSeq and is a predicted model, not a curated record. The transcript has 3 exons. Lineage: Eukaryota; Metazoa; Mollusca; Bivalvia; Mytilida; Mytilidae.